ACCCUUCUCUGUUAACCAGCUGGGAAACUCCGGCACCACACCAGAGAACCCAAUCUGAUACAAAGCUGAUACUGGGUCAUUCUGUUGCUCUGUCCAUGGGAUAGUCCCAGUUGCCAUUUCUAUGACCGUGCACCCCAAAGCCCACAAGUCUGCUGGGAACCCCUGCUCUUCUCCACGAGCUACCUCUGGCGCCAUGNNNNNNNNNNNNUCUGACAUGGCACAACCACCAACUUUUUCAACAUAUUUAGCACAGCCAAAGUCGGCAAUUUUCGCUCCUUCUUUGCUUAUCAGAACAUUCUUGCUCUUGAUAUCACAAUGGACCAAGCCAUUCGUAUGCAAGUACUCCAAGCCUUGUAAGAU
This 360-nucleotide unclassified non-coding RNA is filed under the name Hevea brasiliensis (rubber tree). The record is from RNAcentral. Lineage: Eukaryota; Viridiplantae; Streptophyta; Magnoliopsida; Malpighiales; Euphorbiaceae.